CUAAGGAGUAGUAUAAAGGAAGUGCAAAGGGUUUUGAUCUCUCAGGUGUAGGUUCGAUUCCUAUCUCUUUAA
Molecule: transfer RNA, 72 nt
Filed under: Rana muscosa (mountain yellow-legged frog)
Lineage: Eukaryota; Metazoa; Chordata; Amphibia; Anura; Ranidae
Description: tRNA-Gln
Rfam family: tRNA
About the family: Transfer RNA (tRNA) molecules are approximately 80 nucleotides in length. Their secondary structure includes four short double-helical elements and three loops (D, anti-codon, and T loops).
Source: RNAcentral